CUGCCAUUUUACUCCACUGCGACUGGACGAGACGGUGUAUCGUUACGCCUUGGCCAGACCAAAUCCGCCAUGCAUAUGCUUAACAACGGAAAUUAAUUUCCAAUGAACAAGUGUGUUAUGAUGCAAAGACUUACGCCUGAUGUCCACCAGAUAAGUCAAACUCGUUGCAUUGCGCCGUGGAGUCAUUCAUUGUCAAUGGAGCAAUCCAAAAAGAGCCUGACAGACAGACUAGCCUCAUCGACGAAUCCUGUCCACCAACAGCCCUCCUGGUCCAUACGAAAGUAAUUAAGGGAGCAGAAUGACAUGUCUGACUUUGAUGAGGAGAGAAACGUGGACAAGUGUCCAAGCAACUCAUAAAAGAGGCUAUGGCUUUCCAUCAUCCCCCUAAGUGAUUCUCGGCAAACCUUGAAAGACCAAAU
Molecule: long non-coding RNA, 419 nt
Organism: Esox lucius (northern pike)
Lineage: Eukaryota; Metazoa; Chordata; Actinopteri; Esociformes; Esocidae
Source: Ensembl